CAGUCGCCGCGGGAAUACAGAGGGUGCGAGCGUUAAUCGGAUUUACUGGGCGUAAAGCGUGCGUAGGCGGCUUUUUAAGUCGGAUGUGAAAUCCCUGAGCUUAACUUAGGAAUUGCAUUCGAUACUGGGAAGCUAGAGUAUGGGAGAGGAUGGUAGAAUUCCAGGUGUAGCGGUGAAAUGCGUAGAGAUCUGGAGGAAUACCGAUGGCGAAGGCAGCCAUCUGGCCUAAUACUGACGCUGAGGUACGAAAGCAUGGGGAGCAAACAGGAUUAGAUACCCGGGUAGUCCCUGUCUCUUAUAA
Molecule: ribosomal RNA, 301 nt
Filed under: uncultured bacterium
Lineage: Bacteria
Description: partial 16S ribosomal RNA
Rfam family: Bacterial small subunit ribosomal RNA
Source: RNAcentral